Molecule: non-coding RNA, 1121 nt
Organism: Eimeria tenella
Lineage: Eukaryota; Apicomplexa; Conoidasida; Eucoccidiorida; Eimeriidae
Source: Rfam
CCAGCUGCUCGCCAUAUCAUGCGUUUCACAGACUUUGCUUCUUUGUCUUCCGUGAAACGCGAUACUGAAGAAGCCUCACAGAUUUUCAGGCAACACACGCCGUUGUAGUUUAUUUAAUGGCCUCCUUCUACACGGAUAACCAUGGUAAUUCUAUGGCUAAUACACGCGAAGAGGCCACCUCCUUUGGAGGGGUUCAGUUCAUUGGUUACAAAAUCAACCCACUUCCGAAUGGAGUCUUGGUGAUUCAUAGUAACCGAACGGGUCGCAGGGGCUGUGCUUGUCAGAUAAAAACCAAACCCACUUUCGAGUGGGGUCUUCUAUUGGGCCCACGAUGGAUCACUCAAAUUUCCGACUUAUCAGCUUUCGACGUUAGGCUUUUGGCCUACCGUGGCAGUGACGGUAAAUGGGGAAUUAAGGUUCGAUUCCAGCGAGGGAGACUGAAAAACGGCUACCACGUUUAAAAAAGGCAGCAGGCGCGCAAUUUGCCCAAUGAAAACUUCGUGGUAAUGACGAAAAGCAACAAUAUAGGGCAUUUUAUGCUUUGCAAUUGGAAUGAUAGGAAUGUGAAACCUUUCCAGAGUAACAAUUGGAGGACACGUCUGGUGCCAGCAGCCGCGGUAAUUCCAGCUCCAAUAGUGUAUAUUAGGGUUGUUGCAGUUAAAAAGUUCGUAGUUCGAUUUCUGUCGUGGGCAUCCAGCGCCGUAUGGAUGUGGGUCUGGCAUGCCCUUGGAUUAUUUCCGACAGCCUUCCGAGCUUAAUGACGUGUGUUGCUGUUCUGGGACCUAUUCUAUGAGAAGAAUAGAAUGUUGCAAGCAGGCGUGUCUCCCUGAAAACUGCAGCAUGGAAUAAUAAGAUAGGACCAAUGUUCUAUUCUGUUCUUGAACCAAGAUAGUGAUUAAUAGGGACGGUUGGGGACAUUCGUAUUUAACUGCCACAGCUAAGUUCUUAGAUGCGAAAGCAUCUGCCAAGGAUGUUUGCAUUAACCAAGAACGACAGUGGGGGUUUUGAAGACAAGUAGAUACCGUGUCAAUCUCUACAAUAAACUACGCCGAUUAGAGAUAGAGAAAUGCCUACCUUGGCUCCUCCUGGACCUCAUCAGAAUUCAAAGUCUCUGGGUUCUG